GGCGGAGGGCGCGCGGCCUGAGGCCUUCCUCUGCCCGUUCUCGGGGGGCUGGGCCUCCUCAGGCCUGGUGUGGCCAUCUCCUCAUCACACUCUCUGCCCUGUUCCCAGCUGACCUCUGUUUCCAGCCUCACGCGGACUCGCAGGGAAAGAAAAGAAGAGAGUAAUCCUGAUAACUUUCCAGAGGAAAUUGUGAAAGGGAAGCUGGCCCCUGUCAUGUGGGCAUGGGAAUGGUUGAAGCCAGCAGCUCUGAGAAUGAUGCUCACCAUUCUCCUGCACAGAUGUGGCAGCCCAUGCUCCCAGGCUACUGAGCAUCCUCUGAGAGUGAAACCUUCCUGCAGCCCUCAAGUAACCUGGCACCCAAGUUCCAACACUGGCAUCUCCUACUAGGAGAGAACAUGGAUGCAGUCCCCCACUACCACAAACUACACACUCGAGUUUCCCACAUUUGGGGGAAAUCACAGAGGUUAGCACAUCUGGAAUGCAAUGGAUGAGCCUUGCCCUGGGAAAGCCAUCUUCAUUAUCAUGGUUUCUCUCCUACCAGUUUGCUGCUUUCUUCCCAUGCGGAGUGAAGUGAGGAGCCUUCGGUUCUCCUGCCCUGCACAC
Molecule: long non-coding RNA, 603 nt
Organism: Talpa occidentalis (Iberian mole)
Lineage: Eukaryota; Metazoa; Chordata; Mammalia; Eulipotyphla; Talpidae
Exons: 6
Source: RefSeq, a predicted model, not a curated record